This 615-nucleotide ribosomal RNA is filed under the name uncultured bacterium. RNAcentral's name for it is "bacterial SSU rRNA". It matches the Rfam family "Bacterial small subunit ribosomal RNA", at positions 338 to 1325 of the family's 1533-position model. The record is from RNAcentral.
CCUACGGGAGGCAGCAGUAAGGAAUAUUGGUCAAUGGACGCAAGUCUGAACCAGCCAUGCCGCGUGAAGGAUUAAGGCCCUCUGGGUUGUAAACUUCUUUUAUAGGGGACGAAAAAAGGGCAUUCUUGCUCACUUGACGGUACCCUAGGAAUAAGCACCGGCUAACUCCGUGCCAGCAGCCGCGGUAAUACGGAGGGUGCAAGCGUUAUCCGGAUUUACUGGGUUUAAAGGGUGCGUAGGUGGGUUGGUAAGUCAGUGGUGAAAUCUUCGAGCUUAACUCGGAAACUGCCAUUGAUACUAUCAAUCUUGAAUCAUCUAGAGGUAAGCGGAAUAUGUCAUGUAGCGGUGAAAUGCUUAGAUAUGACAUAGAACACCAAUUGCGAAGGCAGCUUACUAUGGAUGUAUUGACACUGAGGCACGAAAGCGUGGGGAUCAAACAGGAUUAGAUACCCUGGUAGUCCACGCCCUAAACGAUGGAUACUCGACAUUUGUGAUAUACUAUAAGUGUCUGAGCGAAAGCAUUAAGUAUCCCACCUGGGAAGUACGACCGCAAGGUUGAAACUCAAAGAGUAGUAGACGNGNGAGAGACGACGACGACGACGACGGAGGGAGGAG